RNAcentral lists this unclassified non-coding RNA (253 nucleotides) under Patescibacteria group bacterium. RNAcentral describes it as "contains 16S-23S intergenic spacer region". It matches the Rfam family "Bacterial small subunit ribosomal RNA", at positions 524 to 776 of the family's 1533-position model. The record is from RNAcentral.
UACAGAGACCUCAAACGUUAUCCGGAUUCAUUGGGCGUAAAGGGUCCGCAGGUGGUUUGGUAAGUUCAUGGUUAAAUCCUGGCGCUCAACGUCAGGACCGCUAUGGAUACUGCCAAACUUGAGGCUGGGAGAGGUACACGGAACUAUCGGUGUAGUCGUAAUAAGCGCUGAUAUCGAUAGGAACACCAAAGGCGAAGGCAGUGUACUGGAACAAGCCUGACACUCAGGGACGAAAGCGUGGGUAGCGAAUGGG